This is a long non-coding RNA of Nerophis ophidion (straightnose pipefish), 1421 nucleotides long. RefSeq lists it as uncharacterized. NCBI's taxonomy places the organism in Eukaryota, Metazoa, Chordata, Actinopteri, Syngnathiformes, Syngnathidae. The transcript has 4 exons. The record is from RefSeq and is a predicted model, not a curated record.
AGGUUUUUUUUUUGGUCCCCCCCGACCCCCGGCUUGACACUGCAGACACAUGCAAGGCACACAUUGUAAUUAGCGAGGCAUUUUAAAGACAGGGCGGCCUCAGCUGACGCACAAACAUUAAAAGGUGCGUUCACAUGCACACCGGAAAAAGAAGAUAACGCCCUCCGCCACCUCGCUUUUUUUUUUUUUUCCUAGAAGGGUUCGUGUUGAGGAGUCGGCCCCUCCUCGGGGGCUGUAGAAAAGGCACGGAGGAAGGAAAUCGCAGCCAUACGGGCUACGCUCCCCCGGCUGAAUUUUAUCUGGGGGGGGGGGAGAAAAAAAAGUAAAGUGCUCCUCCCUCGCUUCGUAUGUCAGUCCUUGAGGAGAGCUGGCACGGCGCGGCAGGCUUGUGCCUCGCAGACAAAGAUGAGGGCAGAUACACGGCUGACUGGAAACGACAGGGGAAUGUCUUUGAAGUACCCAGAGAGGAACCUGCCUCACCAGUAUCAGCAUGUCCUGGCUCCAAGAUUCAACCCGACAAGGACGGCUGCAUAAAGAGUCACAGAACGUUCCCAGUGUGUGUAAGUUAGGUUUGCAGGGAGAGUCCAAGGUUUGCAGGGAGAGUCCAAACAACACGCACGGUGCCAUGACAAGAAAGGUGAGCCUGACGAUGUCACGACCACGUGACCCCCGCCACCCCCCCUACCCCGGGGUGACAACCUUCUUCUACCCUGAGGACAAGGUCCCGAGUGUUCAGCAUGUGGCCUUCAUUUGGGACGUGCUCUGUGGUAAAACACCAAGUUUUAUGUUUUUAUCACGAGUCAAACAACACUAAAUCCAUCUUUCCCCUGCUAACUGCUUCAAAAGUACCGUUUUCUGUUUGUGCAAUAAAGAUGCCAACACUUUUGUGUCAUUCCUUUCAACUUUAAGCCAGGGAGCGGUAAAAAAAAACUCUAUUUGUGUGUAUUGUGAAAACAAAACAUCAAAAAAUAUGUAUCUGUAAAUGUGCAUCGCCUUAGGAUGAGAAAUGUGAUUGGAAACUUCGCCAAAUGUUGAAAAGGCCAUCAUUUCCACACGUGCAGUCAUGGUCAAACGUUUACAUACACUAGAAAGUUCUGUGGUCACAUGAAAUUAAAUUUGAGGUAUUUGACCACCAUACCCAGCAAUAAGUUUUGGAGGAGAUAGAAAGGUAAGGCCUUUAAUCCUAGGAACACCAGCCCUACUGUCAGGCAUGGUGGUGGUAGUAUUAUGCUUUGGGUCUGUUUUUCUGCCAAUGGAACUGGUGCUUUACAGAGAGAAAAUUGCCUCCAAAUUCUUCAAGAAAAGCUAAAAUCAUCAGCCCGGAGGUUGGGUUUUGGGCGCAGUUGGGUGUUCCAACAGGACAAUGACCCCAAACACACGUCAAAAGUGGUAAAUGUUAAUAUUUGGUUACAUGUCCCUUG